CUCGGAAUCACUGGGCGUAAAGGACGCGUAGGUGGAUAGAUAAGUCUCUUGUGAAAUCUAGUAGCUUAACUACUAAACUGCUUGGGAAACUAUCUAUCUAGAGUAAGGGAGAGGCAGAUGGAAUUCUUGGUGUAGGGGUAAAAUCCGUAGAUAUCAAGAGGAAUACUUAUUGCGAAGGCGAUCUGCUAGAACUUAACUGACACUAAUGCGUGAAAGCGUGGGGAGCAAACAGGAUUAGAUACCCUGGUAGUCCACGCCCUAAACGAUGUAUACUGGUUGUUGCUGUGCUAGUCAUGGCAGUAAUCCACCUAACGGAUUAAGUAUACCGCCUGGGGAGUACGGUCGCAAGAUUAAAACUCAAAGGAAUAGACGGGGACCCGCACAAGCGGUGGAGCAUGUGGUUUAAUUCGAAGAUACGCGAAGAACCUUACCCGGACUUGAUAUCUAACAAAUCAUCUAGAGAUAGAAGAGUGUCUGCUUGCAGAAAUGUUAAGACAGGUGCUGCACGGCUGUCGUCAGCUCGUGUCGUGAGAUGUUGGGUUAAGUCCCGCAACGAGCGCAACCCACGUGUUUAGUUGCUAACAGUUAGGCUGAGCACUCUAAACAGACUGCCUUCGUAAGGAGGAGGAAGGUGUGGACGACGUCAAGUCAUCAUGGCCCUUAUGUCCGGGGCGACACACGUGCUACAAUGGCAUAUACAAUAAGACGCAAUAUCGCGAGAUGGAGCAAAUCUAUAAAAUAUGUCCCAGUUCGGAUUGGAGUCUGCAACUCGACUCCAUGAAGCCGGAAUCGCUAGUAAUCGUAGAUCAGCCAUGCUACGGUGAAUACGUUCCCGGGUCUUGUACUCACC
Molecule: ribosomal RNA, 850 nt
Filed under: Campylobacter showae
Lineage: Bacteria; Pseudomonadati; Campylobacterota; Epsilonproteobacteria; Campylobacterales; Campylobacteraceae
Description: bacterial SSU rRNA
Rfam family: Bacterial small subunit ribosomal RNA
Source: RNAcentral